This 253-nucleotide ribosomal RNA is filed under the name uncultured bacterium. Its description in RNAcentral is "partial 16S ribosomal RNA". It matches the Rfam family "Bacterial small subunit ribosomal RNA", at positions 524 to 776 of the family's 1533-position model. The record is from RNAcentral.
UACGGAGGGUGCGAGCGUUGUCCGGAAUCACUGGGCGUAAAGGGCGCGUAGGCGGCGCGGAUAGUCGGCGGUGAAAGCCCGGAGCUCAACUCCGGGUCGGCCGUUGAUACUUCCGGGCUUGAGCACUGUAGAGGCAGAUGGAAUUCCGGGUGUAGCGGUGGAAUGCGUAGAGAUCCGGAAGAACACCGGUGGCGAAGGCGGUCUGCUGGGCAGUUGCUGACGCUGAUGCGCGACAGCGUGGGGAGCAAACAGG